UUAUCAUAAAUAGUAUAAAGGUGAAAUCCAAAUCAUGAUGAUCGCAUAGUUUUUGCGGUCUUGCUUUCUCCACCUUUUGAUUCAAUUUUCUUUUUUUUUCGUCAUCAAAUUUUUAGACGGUAGAGUCACAUGCUAAUAACAUGUUAUAAAAUAAAGAUAAAAUAUCAAAAUCAAACUUCAAACAAAGGAAAGAACUAGAGAGAAUUUAGU
RNAcentral lists this long non-coding RNA (210 nucleotides) under Capsicum annuum. RNAcentral describes it as "long non-coding RNA (CANN_LNC018136)". The record is from RNAcentral. Lineage: Eukaryota; Viridiplantae; Streptophyta; Magnoliopsida; Solanales; Solanaceae.